GACGAGCCUGACAAACGUUAUUCGGAAUCACUGGGCUUAAAGGGUGCGUAGGCGGCGCGGAGGGUGGGAUGUGAAAUACCCCGGCUCAACCGAGGAAUUGCGUCCCAAACCGCCGUGCUCGAGGAAGAUAGAGGUGAGCGGAACAGAUGGUGAAGCGGUGAAAUGCGUUGAUAUCAUCUGGAACACCCGUGGCGAAAGCGGCUCACUGGGUCUUCUCUGACGCUGAGGCACGAAAGCUAGGGUAGCGAACGGG
RNAcentral lists this ribosomal RNA (253 nucleotides) under uncultured bacterium. RNAcentral's name for it is "partial 16S ribosomal RNA". It matches the Rfam family "Bacterial small subunit ribosomal RNA", at positions 524 to 776 of the family's 1533-position model. The record is from RNAcentral.